Molecule: ribosomal RNA, 234 nt
Filed under: uncultured bacterium
Lineage: Bacteria
Description: partial 16S ribosomal RNA
Rfam family: Bacterial small subunit ribosomal RNA
Source: RNAcentral
UGCGGACGGGUGAGUAAUGUCUGGGAAACUGCCUGAUGGAGGGGGAUAACUACUGGAAACGGUAGCUAAUACCGCAUAACGUCGCAAGACCAAAGAGGGGGACCUUCGGGCCUCUUGCCAUCGGAUGUGCCCAGAUGGGAUUAGCUAGUAGGUGGGGUAACGGCUCACCUAGGCGACGAUCCCUAGCUGGUCUGAGAGGAUGACCAGCCACACUGGAACUGAGACACGGUCCAG